GACAGAGGGUGCAAGCGUUGUUCGGAAUUAUUGGGCGUAAAGCGCGCGUAGGCGGUUUUUCAAGUCGGAUGUGAAAGCCCGGGGCUCAACCCCGGAAGUGCAUCCGAAACUGGAUCACUUGAGUCCCGGAGAGGGUGGUGGAAUUCCUGGUGUAGAGGUGAAAUUCGUAGAUAUCAGGAGGAACACCCGUGGCGAAGGCGACCACCUGGACGGUGACUGACGCUGAGGUGCGAAAGCGUGGGGAGCAAACAGG
This 253-nucleotide ribosomal RNA is filed under the name uncultured bacterium. RNAcentral's name for it is "partial 16S ribosomal RNA". It matches the Rfam family "Bacterial small subunit ribosomal RNA", at positions 524 to 776 of the family's 1533-position model. The record is from RNAcentral.